CAGCCGCCGCGGUAAUACAGAGGGUGCGAGCGUUAAUCGGAUUUACUGGGCGUAAAGCGUGCGUAGGCGGCUUUUUAAGUCGGAUGUGAAAUCCCUGAGCUUAACUUAGGAAUUGCAUUCGAUACUGGGAAGCUAGAGUAUGGGAGAGGAUGGUAGAAUUCCAGGUGUAGCGGUGAAAUGCGUAGAGAUCUGGAGGAAUACCGAUGGCGAAGGCAGCCAUCUGGCCUAAUACUGACGCUGAGGUACAAAAGCAUGGGGAGCAAACAGGAUUAGAUACCCCAGUAGUCCCUGUCUCUUAUGC
Molecule: ribosomal RNA, 301 nt
Filed under: uncultured bacterium
Lineage: Bacteria
Description: partial 16S ribosomal RNA
Rfam family: Bacterial small subunit ribosomal RNA
Source: RNAcentral